GGUCGGUUAGCUCAAUGGUAGAGCACUUCGUUUACAUCGAAGGGGUUAGAGGUUCGAGUCCUCUACCGACCACAA
RNAcentral lists this transfer RNA (75 nucleotides) under Patescibacteria group bacterium. RNAcentral describes it as "tRNA-Val". It matches the Rfam family "tRNA". Rfam says of the family: Transfer RNA (tRNA) molecules are approximately 80 nucleotides in length. Their secondary structure includes four short double-helical elements and three loops (D, anti-codon, and T loops). The record is from RNAcentral. RNAcentral also lists the same sequence under 1 other name.